GUGAACUCGAAGAGUAGGGCGGGACACGUGGUAUCCUGUCUGAAUAUGGGGGGACCAUCCUCCAAGGCUAAAUACUCCUGACUGACCGAUAGUGAACCAGUACCGUGAGGGAAAGGCGAAAAGAACCCCGGCGAGGGGAGUGAAAAAGAACCUGAAACCGUGUACGUACAAGCAGUGGGAGCCUCUUUAUGGGGUGACUGCGUACCUUUUGUAUAAUGGGUCAGCGACUUAUAUUCUGUAGCAAGGUUAACCGUAUAGGGGAGCCGAAGGGAAACCGAGUCUUAACUGGGCGUUAAGUUGCAGGGUAUAGACCCGAAACCCGGUGAUCUAGCCAUGGGCAGGUUGAAGGUUGGGUAACACUAACUGGAGGACCGAACCGACUAAUGUUGAAAAAUUAGCGGAUGACCUGUGGCUGGGGGUGAAAGGCCAAUCAAACCGGGAGAUAGCUGGUUCUCCCCGAAAGCUAUUUAGGUAGCGCCUCGUGAACUCAUCUUCGGGGGUAGAGCACUGUUUCGGCUAGGGGGCCAUCCCGGCUUACCAACCCGAUGCAAACUACGAAUACCGAAGAAUGUUAUCACGGGAGACACACGGCGGGUGCUAACGUCCGUCGUGAAGAGGGAAACAACCCAGACCGCCAGCUAAGGUCCCAAAGUCAUGGUUAAGUGGGAAACGAUGUGGGAAGGCACAGACAGCCAGGAUGUUGGCUUAGAAGCAGCCAUCAUUUAAAGAAAGCGUAAUAGCUCACUGGUCGAGUCGGCCUGCGCGGAAGAUGUAACGGGGCUAAACCAUGCACCGAAGCUGCGGCAGCGACACUAUGUGUUGUUGGGUAGGGGAGCGUUCUGUAAGCCGUUGAAGGUGUGCUGUGAGGCAUGCUGGAGGUAUCAGAAGUGCGAAUGCUGACAUAAGUAACGAUAAAGCGGGUGAAAAGCCCGCUCGCCGGAAGACCAAGGGUUCCUGUCCAACGUUAAUCGGGGCAGGGUGAGUCGACCCCUAAGGCGAGGCCGAAAGGCGUAGUCGAUGGGAAACAGGUUAAUAUUCCUGUACUUGGUGUUACUGCGAAGGGGGGACGGAGAAGGCUAUGUCAGCCGGGCGACGGUUGUCCCGGUUUAAGCAUGUAGGCGGAGGUUCCAGGUAAAUCCGGUACCUUUUAACGCUGAGGUGUGAUGACGAGGCACUACGGUGCUGAAGUGAUAAAUGCCCUGCUUCCAGGAAAAGCCUCUAAGCAUCAGGUAACAUCAAAUCGUACCCCAAACCGACACAGGUGGUCAGGUAGAGAAUACCAAGGCGCUUGAGAGAACUCGGGUGAAGGAACUAGGCAAAAUGGUGCCGUAACUUCGGGAGAAGGCACGCUGAUGUGUAGGUGAAGCCCCUGCGGGCGGAGCUGAAAUCAGUCGAAGAUACCAGCUGGCUGCAACUGUUUAUUAAAAACACAGCACUGUGCAAACACGAAAGUGGACGUAUACGGUGUGACGCCUGCCCGGUGCCGGAAGGUUAAUUGAUGGGGUUAGCGGCAACGCGAAGCUCUUGAUCGAAGCCCCGGUAAACGGCGGCCGUAACUAUAACGGUCCUAAGGUAGCGAAAUUCCUUGUCGGGUAAGUUCCGACCUGCACGAAUGGCGUAAUGAUGGCCAGGCUGUCUCCACCCGAGACUCAGUGAAAUUGAACUCGCUGUGAAGAUGCAGUGUACCCGCGGCAAGACGGAAAGACCCCGUGAACCUUUACUAUAGCUUGACACUGAACACUGGUCCUUGAUGUGUAGGAUAGGUGGGAGGCUUUGAAGCGUGGACGCCAGUCUGCGUGGAGCCGACCUUGAAAUACCACCCUUUAAUGGCUGGUGUUCUAACGUAGACCCGUAAUCCGGGUUGCGGACAGUGUCUGGUGGGUAGUUUGACUGGGGCGGUCUCCUCCCAAAGAGUAACGGAGGAGCACGAAGGUUGGCUAAUCCUGGUCGGACAUCAGGAGGUUAGUGCAAUGGCAUAAGCCAGCUUGACUGCGAGCGUGACGGCGCGAGCAGGUGCGAAAGCAGGUCAUAGUGAUCCGGUGGUUCUGAAUGGAAGGGCCAUCGCUCAACGGAUAAAAGGUACUCCGGGGAUAACAGGCUGAUACCGCCCAAGAGUUCAUAUCGACGGCGGUGUUUGGCACCUCGAUGUCGGCUCAUCACAUCCUGGGGCUGAAGUAGGUCCCAAGGGUAUGGCUGUUCGCCAUUUAAAGUGGUACGCGAGCUGGGUUUAGAACGUCGUGAGACAGUUCGGUCCCUAUCUGCCGUGGGCGCUGGAGAAUUGAGGGGGGCUGCUCCUAGUACGAGAGGACCGGAGUGGACGCAUCACUGGUGUUCGGGUUGUCAUGCCAAUGGCACUGCCCGGUAGCUAAAUGCGGAAGAGAUAAGUGCUGAAAGCAUCUAAGCACGAAACUUGCCCCGAGAUGAGUUCUCCCUGAGACUU
Molecule: ribosomal RNA, 2440 nt
Filed under: Enterobacter hormaechei
Lineage: Bacteria; Pseudomonadati; Pseudomonadota; Gammaproteobacteria; Enterobacterales; Enterobacteriaceae
Description: partial 23S ribosomal RNA
Rfam family: Bacterial large subunit ribosomal RNA
Source: RNAcentral